CCGGGAAGUUGUACCACCUUGAGGGUGGUGCUGCCUCGCUUGGGGCAGGCAGGGAAGUGGUCACUGGGGAGGGUCAGUCGGGCAGCAGGGGCGAGAUGCUUAGGGCUGGAGGGAGAUCAGGAACAGUGGCUCGGGGGAAACCCGCCCCCAGAGGUCAGGGGUUUGCAAACAGUAUUGCUCAGCGCUCUUUGGCAUUCCUAUGGCCUGGAAGAGGGGCAAGAUUCUGCGAACGUCAUUUGUGGAGCAGUUAUGGUGCCCGGAUGAGGGGGUGGGGGCGCACGUGACGGGGGAGUGGAGUUCUACAAUUGAGGACACGGCGCGCGAUAUCGGUGGUACAUCUCCUUUUGUGCAACACGAGGGCAUUACCGUGAAGGAAACAGACUUAAAACUCAAGGUCCUGCACUCGGCUGCUUCGUUGGGGAGAACACCCUUUUAUUCGAAAUUUCUUUCUCUCACUGCGAACGCAUAAUACAGCUAAAUUAGUUCCCCCUCUUGUUCUCACAAGGAGGCCAAAUCCACCCUGCCCUGGACUGACCAAGACAGUAAGUAGCAACCAGGAUGGAGCCCUUCCAGCAGCCAGCCCUGUCCCAGACCUCGGCAGAAGGCCUGCUUGGAGAGGAGUGACAUCCCAGACACCAUAACGCAGUACUUUGCUACACUGCCAACAAGCAGGAAGCCACCUGGGGACCCAGGAGCAGAGCAGUGAUCUUCUCCUGCGAGGUGGGCCAGGACACUCAGAAUGACUUGCUGGUUCCACAGGAGUCUUACGUAAAUUCCUGAAUGUUGAAGUUCUGAAGAUGUCAUCAUACUAUCCUAACCCAAGUGGGAGCCAACUCCACUUAGAAAGGGGAAGGAAGCUAGAGAGGGUGAUGGGUGAAGAGCACUUGACUUGGAAGCACAGACCUGCUCCAGCCCUGGCUCCACCAUUCACUGGCUGUGCGGCUCUGGCUCUUUCGGUUGGCAUGCUUCUUCAUCUGUUGACCAUGGACAUUGAUACUUAACACAAGGUGAAUGAAAUAGAGAAAAAAAUAAAAUAAAAGCUCAG
Molecule: long non-coding RNA, 1045 nt
Filed under: Equus asinus (donkey)
Lineage: Eukaryota; Metazoa; Chordata; Mammalia; Perissodactyla; Equidae
Description: lncRNA (ENSEASG00005026532.1)
Source: RNAcentral